Molecule: ribosomal RNA, 429 nt
Filed under: Acidobacteriota bacterium
Lineage: Bacteria; Pseudomonadati; Acidobacteriota
Description: Acidobacteria bacterium partial 16S ribosomal RNA
Rfam family: Bacterial small subunit ribosomal RNA
Source: RNAcentral
UGGGGAAUUUUGGACAAUGGGGGAAACCCUGAUCCAGCCAUCCCGCGUGUGCGAUGAAGGCCUUCGGGUUGUAAAGCACUUUUGGCAGGAAAGAAACGUCAUGGGUUAAUACCCCGUGAAACUGACGGUACCUGCAGAAUAAGCAACGGCUAACUACGUGACAGCAGCCGCGGUAAUACGUAGGGUGCAAGCGUUAAUCGGAAUUACUGGGCGUAAAGCGUGCGCAGGCGGUUCGGAAAGAAAGAUGUGAAAUCCCAGAGCUCAACUUUGGAACUGCAUUUUUAACUACCGGGCUAGAGUGUGUCAGAGGGAGGUGGAAUUCCGCGUGUAGCAGUGAAAUGCGUAGAUAUGCGGAGGAACACCGAUGGCGAAGGCAGCCUCCUGGGAUAACACUGACGCUCAUGCACGAAAGCGUGGGGAGCAAACAGG